CUAGCUAUAAAUUAAACCUGAUCAAUCAAAUGGAUGGGUGUAAGCAAUUAUGGUAAUUACAACUGUCCUUAACUAGGUGUCUUUGCUAGACAGACACAGGGAGGAUGAAAGUGAGAGACAGACAGACAGACACAGAGCAAACAACAGCAGUGCAAAUGUACUUAGACUUGAGUAUUUCAACAACUCUUCUUCCAACAAAAAUCACAUCUACCUACGGGGAAAGGAUGGCCAGUCACACAAGAGGGUGAUUUUUACUAAGGAGGAGAAGGAGGCCAUGCUGACUGAGAUGCAUGCUGGCCAUUUCAGAGGGAAGCGCAUGAUUGCCAAAAUCAACCUAUGCUUCUUCUGACGAGGAAUUGUCAAGGAUGAGUACAGCUGGGAAAUUCAGUACCCUGUCUAGCCUGCCAGAAGUUUGAGAGGGUGAAGACUGUGGCGCCGGAGUUGAAGCUAAUCAAAGUUGUUUCACCAUGGCACAUGAUCUGAUGAGACUAACAAGGCCGCCUUCAAGAC
Molecule: long non-coding RNA, 510 nt
Organism: Oncorhynchus tshawytscha (Chinook salmon)
Lineage: Eukaryota; Metazoa; Chordata; Actinopteri; Salmoniformes; Salmonidae
Source: Ensembl